AUACUUACCUGGCAGGGGAGAUACCAUAAUCACGAAGGUAGUUUUCCCAGGGAGAGACUUGCACUAUGGAUGUGCUGACCCCUGCGAUUUCGCCAAAUGCGGGAAACCUGACUGCAUAAUUUGUGGUGGUGGUGAACUGUGUCGGUGCUCUCCCCUG
This is a small nuclear RNA of Erinaceus europaeus (western European hedgehog), 157 nucleotides long. Its record names the gene U1. It matches the Rfam family "U1 spliceosomal RNA". Rfam says of the family: U1 is a small nuclear RNA (snRNA) component of the spliceosome (involved in pre-mRNA splicing). The record is from Ensembl. NCBI's taxonomy places the organism in Eukaryota, Metazoa, Chordata, Mammalia, Eulipotyphla, Erinaceidae.